Molecule: ribosomal RNA, 460 nt
Filed under: uncultured bacterium
Lineage: Bacteria
Description: partial 16S ribosomal RNA
Rfam family: Bacterial small subunit ribosomal RNA
Source: RNAcentral
CCUACGGGAGGCAGCAGUGAGGAAUAUUGGUCAAUGGGCGCGAGCCUGAACCAGCCAAGUAGCGUGAAGGAUGACUGCCCUACGGGUUGUAAACUUCUUUUAUAAAGGAAUAAAGUGAGGCACGUGUGCCUUUUUGUAUGUACUUUAUGAAUAAGGAUCGGCUAACUCCGUGCCAGCAGCCGCGGUAAUACGGAGGAUCCGAGCGUUAUCCGGAUUUAUUGGGUUUAAAGGGAGCGUAGAUGGGUUGUUAAGUCAGUUGUGAAAGUUUGCGGCUCAACCGUAAAAUUGCAAUUGAUACUGGCGGUCUUGAGUACAGUUGAGGUAGGCGGAAUUCGUGGUGUAGCGGUGAAAUGCUUAGAGAUCACGAAGAACUCCGAUUGCGAAGGCAGCUUACUAAACUGCCACUGACAUUGAGGCUCGAAAGUGUGGGUAUCAAACAGGAUUAGAUACCCGAGUAGUC